Tachyglossus aculeatus (Australian echidna) is the source of this 280-nucleotide long non-coding RNA. RefSeq lists it as uncharacterized. The transcript has 3 exons. The record is from RefSeq and is a predicted model, not a curated record. Lineage: Eukaryota; Metazoa; Chordata; Mammalia; Monotremata; Tachyglossidae.
GACUUCCCUUAUCCUCUCAUUAGCCUUGGGAUGGAGGCUGGACGGGCCUCCAUUUUACAGGAUAGUGACCAAGGGGCCAGGUCAGGCUCCUGACUUUGGACAUGCUGCUUUCCCGAAGAUGCACUCAUCAGAGAGGAGCCGGGUCCCUCUCACAGGAACUUCUCCCUCACCCAUCUGCCAGGACCUUAGCAGAUCCGCCCGGAGCCAGUUGGGUGAUCCAGAAGAGAAAGGGUGAAAAGGCAGAGCCAGAGAAACAUCAAAAGGUAAAUGUCACCACAUC